UGGGGAAUAUUGCACAAUGGGCGAAAGCCUGAUGCAGCAACGCCGCGUGAGGGAUGACGGCCUUCGGGUUGUAAACCUCUUUUAGUAGGGAAGAAGCGAAAGUGACGGUACCUGCAGCAAAAGCACCGGCUAACUACGUGCCAGCAGCCGCGGUAAUACGUAGGGUGCAAGCGUUGUCCGGAAUUAUUGGGCGUAAAGAGCUCGUAGGCGGUUUGUCGCGUCUGCUGUGAAAUCCCGAGGCUCAACCUCGGGUCUGCAGUGGGUACGGGCAGACUAGAGUGUGGUAGGGGAGAUUGGAAUUCCUGGUGUAGCGGUGGAAUGCGCAGAUAUCAGGAGGAACACCGAUGGCGAAGGCAGAUCUCUGGGCCAUUACUGACGCUGAGGAGCGAAAGCAUGGGGAGCGAACA
This 407-nucleotide ribosomal RNA is filed under the name uncultured bacterium. RNAcentral describes it as "partial 16S ribosomal RNA". It matches the Rfam family "Bacterial small subunit ribosomal RNA", at positions 355 to 774 of the family's 1533-position model. The record is from RNAcentral.